RNAcentral lists this ribosomal RNA (488 nucleotides) under uncultured fungus. Its description in RNAcentral is "eukaryotic LSU rRNA". The stretch from base 134 to 287 matches the Rfam family "5.8S ribosomal RNA". Lineage: Eukaryota; Fungi. The record is from RNAcentral.
UGGUUAUUCAUAACCCUUUGUUGUCCGACUCUGUUGCCUCCGGGGCGACCCUGCCUUCGGGCGGGGGCUCCGGGUGGACACUUCAAACUCUUGCGUAACUUUGCAGUCUGAGUAAACUUAAUUAAUAAAUUAAAACUUUUAACAACGGAUCUCUUGGUUCUGGCAUCGAUGAAGAACGCAGCGAAAUGCGAUAAGUAAUGUGAAUUGCAGAAUUCAGUGAAUCAUCGAAUCUUUGAACGCACAUUGCGCCCCCUGGUAUUCCGGGGGGCAUGCCUGUUCGAGCGUCAUUUCACCACUCAAGCCUCGCUUGGUAUUGGGCAACGCGGUCCGCCGCGUGCCUCAAAUCGUCCGGCUGGGUCUUCUGUCCCCUAAGCGUUGUGGAAACUAUUCGCUAAAGGGUGUUCGGGAGGCUACGCCGUAAAACAACCCCAUUUCUAAGGUUGACCUCGGAUCAGGUAGGGAUACCCGCUGAACUUAAGCAUAUCAAU